This 478-nucleotide ribosomal RNA is filed under the name uncultured bacterium. RNAcentral's name for it is "partial 16S ribosomal RNA". It matches the Rfam family "Bacterial small subunit ribosomal RNA", at positions 28 to 523 of the family's 1533-position model. The record is from RNAcentral.
GACGAACGCUGGCGGCGUGCUUAACACAUGCAAGUCGAACGGUAAGGCCCUUCGGGGUACACGAGUGGCGAACGGGUGAGUAACACGUGGGUGAUCUGCCCUGCACUUCGGGAUAAGCCUGGGAAACUGGGUCUAAUACCGGAUAGGACUCCUGCCUGCAUGGGAGGGGGUGGAAAGCUUUUGCGGGGUGGGAUGGGCCCGCGGCCUAUCAGCUUGGUGGUGGGGUGAUGGCCUACCAAGGCGACGACGGGUAGCCGGCCUGAGAGGGUGACCGGCCACACUGGGACUGAGAUACGGCCCAGACUCCUACGGGAGGCAGCAGUGGGGAAUAUUGCACAAUGGGCGCAAGCCUGAUGCAGCGACGCCGCGUGAGGGAUGACGGCCUUCGGGUUGUAAACCUCUUUCAGCACAGACGAAGCGCAAGUGACGGUAUGUGCAGAAGAAGGACCGGCCAACUACGUGCCAGCCGCCGCCGUAA